GAUGAACGCUAGCGGCAGGCUUAAUACAUGCAAGUCGAGGGGCAGCAGUCCCGCAGCAAUGCGGGAGCUGGCGACCGGCAAACGGGUGCGGAACACGUACAGAACCUUCCUUCGAGCGGGGAAUAGCCCAGAGAAAUUUGGAUUAAUACCCCAUAGCAUUACGAAGUGGCAUCACUUUGUAAUUAAAGAUUUAUCACUCGAAGAUGGCUGUGCGGCUGAUAGGUAGUUGGCGGAGUAACGGCCCACCAAGCCUUCGAUCAGUAACUGGUGUGAGAGCACGACCAGGUCACACGGGGCACUGAGACACGGGCCCGACUCCUACGGGAGGCAGCAGUAAGGAAUAUUGGUCAAUGGACGAAAGUCUGAACCAGCCAUGCCGCGUGGAGGAUGAAGGCCCUCUGGAUUGUAAACUUCUUUUAUAUGGGACGAAAAAGGCUUUUCUAAGUCGUCUGACGGUACCAUAUGAAUAAGCACCGGCUAACUCUGUGCCAGCA
Molecule: ribosomal RNA, 494 nt
Filed under: uncultured bacterium
Lineage: Bacteria
Description: bacterial SSU rRNA
Rfam family: Bacterial small subunit ribosomal RNA
Source: RNAcentral